GACGAACGCUGGCGGCGUGCUUAACACAUGCAAGUCGAGCGGAAAGGCCACUUCGGUGGUACUCGAGCGGCGAACGGGUGAGUAACACGUGAGUAAUCUGCCCCUGGCUUUGGGAUAGCCACCGGAAACGGUGAUUAAUACCGGAUACGCCCACGUCUCGCAUGGUAUGGGGGUGGAAAGUUUUUUCGGCCAGGGAUGUGCUCGCGGCCUAUCAGCUUGAUGGUGGGAUAAUGGCUCACCAUGGCUUCGACGGGUAGCCGGCCGGAGAGGGUGACCGGUCACACUGGGACUGAGACACGGCCCAGACUCCUACGGGAGGCAGCAGUGGGGAAUAUUGGACAAUGGGCGGAAGCCUGAUCCAGCAACGCCGCGUGAGGGAUGACGGCCUUCGGGUUGUAAACCUCUUUCAGCAGGGACGAAGCGCAAGUGACGGUACCUGCAGAAGAAGCACCGGCCAACUAUGUGCCAGCCGCCGCAGUAA
Molecule: ribosomal RNA, 481 nt
Filed under: uncultured bacterium
Lineage: Bacteria
Description: partial 16S ribosomal RNA
Rfam family: Bacterial small subunit ribosomal RNA
Source: RNAcentral